Molecule: ribosomal RNA, 439 nt
Filed under: uncultured bacterium
Lineage: Bacteria
Description: partial 16S ribosomal RNA
Rfam family: Bacterial small subunit ribosomal RNA
Source: RNAcentral
CUACGGGCCGCUGCAGUGGGGAAUAUUGCACAAUGGAGGAAACUCUGAUGCAGCAACGCCGCGUGGAGGAUGACACUUUUCGGAGCGUAAACUCCUUUUAUAUAGGAAGAAGAUGACGGUACUAUAUGAAUAAGCGCCGGCUAACUCCGUGCCAGCAGCCGCGGUAAUAUGGAGGGCGCAAGCGUUACUCGGAAUCACUGGGCGUAAAGAGCGUGUAGGCGGAUUAAAAAGUCAGAAGUGAAAUCCUAUAGCUUAACUAUAGAACUGCUUCUGAAACUCUUAAUCUAGAAUAUGGGAGAGGUAGAUGGAAUUUCUGGUGUAGGGGUAAAAUCCGUAGAGAUCAGAAGGAAUACCGAUUGCGAAGCCGAUCUACUAGAACAUUAUUGACGCUGAGACGCGAAAGCGUGGGGAGCAAACAGGAUUAGAUACCCCAGUAGUC